Oenanthe melanoleuca is the source of this 593-nucleotide long non-coding RNA. RefSeq lists it as uncharacterized. The transcript is spliced from 3 exons. NCBI's taxonomy places the organism in Eukaryota, Metazoa, Chordata, Aves, Passeriformes, Muscicapidae. The record is from RefSeq and is a predicted model, not a curated record.
CCCAAAUGGAUCAAGACUUGGACCAUCACUUUAACCAACAGACAUCAAAACUGCAGCCAUCAAAUCUCUUUCACAGAUUCACGUGUGAAGCUGGAAGGAAUUUCAUUUCAGGGACCCCAGGAGUUUGCCCAGAUCUCAGCCCAUUCCCUCACUGCAACUGGUGCUUGUUUUGGACAUACCCAGCCUGUGUGGAUCAUUCUUGUUCUGUUAAGUUUCAUGCUGGGCAAUAGAGGCAUAGAAGCAGGAUCCUUGCUAUUGAUGCUCUCUUGAAAGCAGGUACACUAUGUUUGACUUGACAUGCUCUAGAAAAAAUGAAGUUUUCAAACACUGCUUUUUGCUCAGAGCCUGUUCCAGCGUUCUCAUCACGACCAUGUCAUUUUGAACCUCAUGACUUCUCUGCUCAAUUGCCUCAAAACUGGAGAAAGCACUAAAAUAUGUUUAGGAUGAUGAGACAUAAUAGAAAAGACCAAAAGUUUAUUCUGAUUUAAAGUGUAACAAGUGUGAACAAUCCAACUCUGAGAGCAUUUAAUUCCUUAUUUCAUUUUUCUGAAAAUCUCGAAGAAAAUUUCAAAGUGUAUGAAUUCCUAUACACA